CGUGCAGGUAGCAGUGGGAUCCCUGAGGAUGGGAGCCAGUGCACUGAGAUCUCUCGCCUCCGAGGCUAGGGUCCUGUGGUCCGCCCGAGGGCCGCAACCCCCGCCCUUUCAUGUGCCUGCCUCGCCCCCGGCUGCGCCGAUGCUCCUGCUGCUGCUGCUGCUUACCGCGCCGGACGCCGGGGCUGCGGGACAGGGCGGCACUGGCCGGCUACUGGGACGCCGGCGCCUAGGGACACCGCAGCAUGAGGCAGAGGGUCCGUCGGGUCCUUCCUCCGCGGCCUGGCCCCCGGGGCCUCCCCGUCCCGCUGCCCCGGCCUGGCACUGGCGUGCGCCAAGGGUGGGCUCCUGCGAACUUGGCAGAAACAGGAACUAAAGAGUUUUAACUGGGCACCGCUAUAGCAGUGGCUGUUGAUCAUCGUCUCCUGGCUGGAACCAGGGAAUCCUGUCGUUCAGGGAGGAGCAACGCAGCAGCAGGCAUGCCUUCUCAGCCCCAGCUGACUCACUCUGGGGUGGAUGGAUGUAUUUACUUACUUAUUUAUUAUUUGGUUCUUGCUCUGUCGCCCAGGCUGGAGUACAGUGAUGCAAUCUCGGCUCACUGCAGCCUGGACCUCCCGGGCUCAAGCGAUCCCACCUCAGCCUCCCAAGUAGCUGGGACUUCAGGCACAUGCCACUACGCCAGCUAAUUUUUUAAACGUUUUGUAGAGACAGGCUCUCGCCCUGUUGCCCAGGCUGGUCUUGAACUCCUGGCCUCAAGCCGUCUGCCCACCUUGGCCUCCCAAAGUGCUGGGAUUACAGGUGUGAGUUACCACACUCAGCCCACUCGGUUUUGAGUGGCCAUUUGCUUUGACUCAGCAAACACUUCUGAUGGUAACAAAGCACCAACUGAGUGGCUGGUUUCAAUCCUACUCUUGCACCCAACACCGCAACAUUUUAUCUACCUGGAGCAAACGCUCUGGGGUCCUGAGGAGCUGGCCACACUGCCCAUUUUGCUGGUGGGACAGUGGGAGGCCCUGCCCUCCUCCCAUCCCACACCUCUUAGGCAAGAGCUGUGCCCAGGAAAUGUCACCUGUAACUGGUCUGCACAGACCCUGUCUUCCAAAAGGGUGCUGUGCCUCCACCAGACCCCACGGGCAGUACAUUGGUCAAGCACAUGCAAGACACGCCAAGGCCAAGGCCUGACUGAUUGGACAGUAAAGACACAAUGAGCCCCUCUCGUUCGAAGCUGAUUACUCACAGAGUGAAAAUAAGAGAAGCCUGAGGUGGCAGCUCCCUCCCGUCCUGGUGCCACACACUAAAAAGGACAGCACCGAAACAAAAGGGGUCAGAGAGCACGCGCUGAGGGACACCCACUGCGGAGCAGCCCCUGGAGACUGCGCCGGG
Molecule: long non-coding RNA, 1380 nt
Filed under: Macaca mulatta (Rhesus monkey)
Lineage: Eukaryota; Metazoa; Chordata; Mammalia; Primates; Cercopithecidae
Description: lncRNA (ENSMMUG00000062236.1)
Source: RNAcentral